CCCUUAGAUGUUCUGGGCCGCACGCGCGCUACACUGACGAUGGCAACGAGUUUUUCCUUCGCCGAAAGGUGUGGGUAAUCUUUUGAAACAUCGUCGUGCUGGGGAUAGAUCAUUGCAAUUUUUGAUCUUGAACGAGGAAUUCCUAGUAAGCGCGAGUCAUCAGCUCGCGUUGAUUACGUCCCUGCCCUUUGUACACACCGCCCGUCGCUACUACCGAUUGAAUGGUUUAGUGAGGACUCCUGAUUGGCGCCGCCGCCCCGGCAACGGAGCAGCGGACUGCCGAAAAGUUGUACAAACUUGAUCAUUUAGAGGAAGUAAAAGUCGUAACA
Molecule: ribosomal RNA, 329 nt
Filed under: uncultured eukaryote
Lineage: Eukaryota
Description: partial 18S ribosomal RNA
Rfam family: Eukaryotic small subunit ribosomal RNA
Source: RNAcentral